CAGGACUACCGACUUACUAUUAUUACCGACAUAUAGUCGGUUUAUCUUCUCAACACAUCUAAUCGUUAUAAAUGGUUAUCGACUACGUGUCACGAUCAUUAGUGGGCAUAAAUGAUCUAUUAACUUCAUGAUUAUAGUUCGAUAAUUUAGUACCAUAAAAAAUGAGAUCAUGUACUCGAAAAUUACAUCGAAAUCAUCUAUAAAAGAGGAGGUAAAUGAACAGAAUGGAUAAGAUAAUUC
RNAcentral lists this long non-coding RNA (240 nucleotides) under Elaeis guineensis (African oil palm). RNAcentral describes it as "long non-coding RNA (EGUI_LNC017719)". The record is from RNAcentral. Lineage: Eukaryota; Viridiplantae; Streptophyta; Magnoliopsida; Arecales; Arecaceae.